AGUGACGCCGACCAUUACUGAUAUAUCACCAUCUUCAGGUCCGGCCGGGAUAUUGUUGACUCUUAAAGGGCGAAUGUUUACCUCGAAGUAUGGUUUAAAUGCUAGCACAAAUGGAAACAAAAACGAAAUAUCAAGAGCGAUGUUGGGAGGCGAUGUGUGUGAUUUGAUGUCACCGG
Molecule: long non-coding RNA, 176 nt
Organism: Pecten maximus
Lineage: Eukaryota; Metazoa; Mollusca; Bivalvia; Pectinida; Pectinidae
Exons: 3
Source: RefSeq, a predicted model, not a curated record